UCGUAACAAGGUCUCCGUUGGUGAACCAGCGGAGGGAUCAUUACCGAAGUUACUCUUCAAAACCCAUUGUGAACCUUACCUCUUGCCGCGCGUUGCCUCGGCGGGGAGGCGGGGUCUGGGUCGGCGCGCCCCUCACCGGGCCGCCGUCCCCGUCCCCGUCCCCGCCGGCCGCGCCAAACUCUAAAUUUGAAAAAGCGUACUGCACGUUCUGAUUCAAAACAAAAAACAAGUCAAAACUUUUAACAACGGAUCUCUUGGUUCUGGCAUCGAUGAAGAACGCAGCGAAAUGCGAUAAGUAAUGUGAAUUGCAGAAUUCAGUGAAUCAUCGAAUCUUUGAACGCACAUUGCGCCCGGCAGCAAUCUGCCGGGCAUGCCUGUCCGAGCGUCAUUUCUUCCCUCGAGCGCGGCUAGCCCUACGGGGCCUGCCGUCGCCCGGUGUUGGGGCUCUACGGGUGGGGCUCGUCCCCCCCGCAGUCCCCGAAAUGUAGUGGCGGUCCAGCCGCGGCGCCCCCUGCGUAGUAGAUCCUACAUCUCGCAUCGGGUCCCGGCGAAGGCCAGCCGUCGAACCUUUUAUUUCAUGGUUUGACCUCGAUCAGUAUGUAGUUACCCGCUGAACUUAAGCAUAUCA
This 628-nucleotide unclassified non-coding RNA is filed under the name Scopulariopsis brevicaulis (arsenic fungus). RNAcentral's name for it is "sequence contains 18S rRNA gene, ITS1, 5.8S rRNA gene, ITS2, 28S rRNA gene". The stretch from base 235 to 388 matches the Rfam family "5.8S ribosomal RNA". The record is from RNAcentral. Lineage: Eukaryota; Fungi; Ascomycota; Sordariomycetes; Microascales; Microascaceae.